UGCAAGUCGAACGAAUCCCAGGGGGGUAACUCCCUGGGGGAAGUGGCGAAAGGGGCAGUAAGGCGUGGGUAACCUACCCUGGGGACUGGGAUAGCCCUCCUAACGGAGGGGUAAUACCGGGCGACGUAGUGGAGGGGCAUCUCUCUGCUACCAAAUGAGUUUCGCCCUGGGAGGGGCCCACGUGGUAUUAGCUCGUUGGUGGGGUAACGGCCCACCAAGGCCAAGAUGCCUAGCAGGUGUGAGAGCACGACCUGCGCCACUGGCACUGUGACACUGGCCAGACUCCUACGGGAGGCUGCAGUCGAGGAUCUUCGGCAAUGGGCGCAAGCCUGACCGAGCGACGCCNCGUGUGCGAUGAAGGCCUUCGGGUUGUAAAGCACUGUCGAGGGGGAGGAAAGCCGCAAGGCCUGACCUAUCCCUGGAGGAAGCACGGGCUAAGUUCGUGCCAGCAGCCGCGGUAAGACGAACCGUGCGAACGUUGUUCGGAAUCACUGGGCUUAAAGGGCGCGUAGGCGGGCCCGCCAGUCUGUGGUGAAAGCCCCCGGCUCAACCGGGGAAGUGCCGUGGAUACUGCGGGUCUCGAGGGAGGUAGGGGCGUGUGGAACUUCCGGUGGAGCGGUGAAAUGCGUAGAUUUCGGAAGGAACGCCGGUGGCGAAAGCGACGCGCUGGACCUCUACUGACGCUGAGGCGCGAAAGCCAGGGGAGCAAACGGGAUUAGAUACCCCGGUAGUCCUGGCCCUAAACGAUGGGUACUAGGUUGUGGACUGGACAUGGGUUCACAGCC
Molecule: ribosomal RNA, 785 nt
Filed under: uncultured Planctomycetota bacterium
Lineage: Bacteria; Pseudomonadati; Planctomycetota
Description: bacterial SSU rRNA
Rfam family: Bacterial small subunit ribosomal RNA
Source: RNAcentral